UCCCAUCGUUAAGUCAAGGCCCCUUCCUGCACUCGCUGCAACCCAAUGGAAGACCGCCUGUUACAACUUUGGGAUAUCGAUCUCGCGCCCGCCGCUCUCUACCGUCAUGGCAGUGGAGCUGACCAGCCGCCGUCUUGGAGGCUGCGUCUCACAGGGCGCGAGGAUGUUUCGUUUGAGUUGAGGACUUCGCCGUCGUUCUUUCGAGCGGCCCGUUGUGGCGGUUCUCUUAGUAAUGAUUCAUACAUAU
Molecule: small nucleolar RNA, 247 nt
Filed under: Coniosporium apollinis CBS 100218
Lineage: Eukaryota; Fungi; Ascomycota; Dothideomycetes
Description: Small nucleolar RNA snR191
Rfam family: Small nucleolar RNA snR191
Source: Rfam by way of RNAcentral